RNAcentral lists this long non-coding RNA (4769 nucleotides) under Heterocephalus glaber (naked mole-rat). Its description in RNAcentral is "lncRNA (ENSHGLG00000050659.1)". Lineage: Eukaryota; Metazoa; Chordata; Mammalia; Rodentia; Bathyergidae. The record is from RNAcentral.
UGAGGUGGCACACACCUGUAAUUGCAGAACCCGGGAAGCUGAGGCAGGAGGAUUGCUGUGAGUUCAAGGCCUGCCUGGGCUACACAGUGGGUUCAAGGACAGCCUGAACUACAGAGCAAGACCCUGUCUCAAAAAGAAAACCCCAAAGGCUGGGGAUUUAGCUCAGUGGUGGUGCACCUGCCUGGUAAGCACAAGGUCCUGAGUUCCAUUUCCAGUACAGGAAAAAAAAAAGGAUGGGAAUGUAGGUCAGUGCAAAGACCCUGGGCUCAAUCCUUAUUACUGAAAAGAAAGAAGGAUGCAAAGAAAAGAAAAGAGAAAAGGAGAGGAGAGAGGAGGAAGAGAGGGAGAGGCAGGAAGGGCAGUCGGAGAAUUUCCGGCACCAGAUUCCAGGGCUGGCUGUGACACUGCAGAAGGCGGCGGUGCAGCACGGGCAGAGAGUCCGCGUCUCCUCGCAAGGAUGAGGACCUCUGGCACGUGAAGGGGUGGGGUGCUGUGUGCAUGGCCGUCACUCUGUCACUGGGGAGUGGCAGUACGGAAGCGUUGAGUUAGGCAGCUCUGCUCUGCGGUUGGCUGGGAUGCGAGGCCGGACAGAUGACUGUCCUCCAGGUCUGCCGGGCACAGGUGGAGGCCAUCGUGGUGUCACAGUGCCCUUCCAGGGAGCAGAGACCCCACGGCGGGCACUCCCACCCUGCUGCCUUGGCCACUUGCUCUGCACCCCUGGAGCACUGGGAGGGUCUUGCUGCUGCUGUCACUUCUGCUGGCCUCCUCGUUCGCUGGGGUGGCAAUUUCAGCGUGGCUCAGGGAGGGCUUGUUGAGGGGAGAUCAGGGCAGCGGUGGGGCACUUGCCUCUCUCAACAGGCCCAGGCUCCAUCUUAAGUGCUGGAGAGAAAGGAAUGAAAAAGAAAGGGAGGAAAUGAAGACAAAAAGCCCUGACCUGCGGCUGCUGAGCCCCCAGGAACCAUCCGCUCUGCCUCAGGACAUUUCUGGAGGAUGAAACACUCAGACAAACUGGGAAAGACACCCCGGGAGACAGGCGGGCUGUGCCCUGCACCCUGAAAUGGGCUCGGGCAGAGGCAGUGCGCAGGGUCAGAGGGACGGAGGGGACGCAGUGCCAGGGGCUCUGCCCAGAGACACCCGCACCGGACCUGGGUGCUCUGCAGGCGGCUCCAAAAUGCAUCAAGCAGGGCCGGGCAGAGAGAGGAUUCACCACGAGGAAAGUCAGGAAGGAGAGGCGGAUGAGACAAAGCCGCCUCAGGAAAUCUCCAGUCAGUGCCAGGGACAGCGCAUGUCCUGACUGCAUGUAAUUUAGAAACCAGAAGGAGAAGCCAACUUUGCGAGCCCUACGUAAAGUCGGGAAUUCCAAAAUUCUCUUCUGAGUAACAGAGGCCGAGGAGAACACAGGGGAGGCAAGAAGCUCCGGGGAAGGGAUGCUAAGGGAAAGCUCGAGCCGAGCUGUCUCCGCUCUGCAGUGUCCAGCACAGCAGGAAGACCUUCAGACCUCCCGUCUGACGACAGCGCCUGACUCCUGUGUCCUGGCCAGCUGCAAACUUCCGGGCAGGCUUGUCCCCAGGUGGGGGACAGAAGGCAGCAAGAAGCAUCCUCAGGGUCUGAUACAGUUGUCGGGGUCCUUGCCCGAAACGCUGAAAGCUCAAACAUGUUUGGAAGCCCACAGCACCAGGCCUAGCCCUGAGCCCACCUCCUCAGACUCCCAGGUGCCAGACAGCCUAGAGCCUCUGGAAGGGAUCCAUCCACCCACUCACUGUGUUGAGCUGCUUUGUUUGGCAAAAAUGAGUAACACAGGAGGGAAAUGCAAACCUGGAGCUACAGAACCAUCUCACGGUUUUGAACACCCCUAAACAUGGAAGACAGACAAAAGACAGAAGCAAAGGUGAGCAGAUGGGUCCCAGAGGCGCCGGGCGCUUGCUGUGUGUUCGUGUUUGGCCUGCUUUCCUGUGUUCCUGAGAGACUGGGCCUCUGAGCACCAGCGCAGUGCUGAAGUCCCGGAGUUUCCUUGACUCAGAGAAAGGUCACCCCUGAGCAGCUGUGGACCUGACUGCUGAUCACAAAGCCGCUGCUCUCCAAGGGACUGCGCCGCUGGACCCGAGACCACCCGCUCGCCACUCAGAAGCCAAUGCUCGGGAGAUCAGUGGACAGGAAGGAGAGCGGGCGCCAUGGUCCCCCAGCAAGCCUCGUUAGGGGACCCAGGUAGCAGAAGUGGAAAGAGAGCUCCAGGGCCAAGGGCAGGAGGCCGGGCGGGCGUGUGCUGAGGGCCUCUGGUCAUCGGGGCCUGAGUUUUCCUUUCUCUCCUGCCAGAACGCCCUGGAGACAACAAUCGACUUUCUUCUCUUAGGCCAGUCCCUGUAAUUCUUUAGAAAAGGGGCUAUCUCCUUGAACAGUAAACACUGUUUCACUUUAAAGAACAGGAUUGGCCAGUCCCUGCCCAUGCUUGGGUGUUAUCUGAAGAUGUCAGAUGUCGCAGUCUGUGGGAGGCUGGAGGAUCGCUGAUCAGGGCUGCUUUUCCUGCAGUAGCUGAGCCCAGCAGUUAGUGUCUUAGCCAGACAAAGGUGGUUUUCUUUGGCACUUACAACCCUGGGCAAAGGGAGACACAAAUAUAAUAGGACAAGGGGCAGUUUGCACAGGCGAGCUAACCUAGAGGAGGGUGGGUAAGACACAGUGGUGUUGCCAUUAUUUACACACUGCUGGAUCCCCGGGAAGCCUCCUUCCUCCUGGCCCAGCCCCAGGGCUUGUCCCUGCUGCACCCUAGGAGUCCUGUGCCAGACAGGUGGCUGUGUCUGAUGGAGGCAAACUGGGCCCAACGUGGCACCUGGCACAUUGCGGCCUCGGGCAGAAGACAGGGCUAGAGGAGGCCCAGGUGCGGUGUGGGAGUGAGACUGGAGACCAGGCACAGGAGCAGGGGCCAGAAGCAGGCAGGAAGUGGGCAGGAAGCAGGCAGGAAGUGAAUGGGAAGCAGGCAGGAAGUGGAAGGAAACAGGCAGGAAGUGAAUGGGAAACAGGCAGGAAGUGUGUGGGAAGCAGACAGGAAGUAUGUGGGAAACAGGAAGUGGGCAGGAAGCAGGUGGAAAACCUCUCCCCCAUGGAAAUCAUCUGAGCCCCCUGGUGGGGGAGUUGGGAUGGAGGAAGUCUGGAAUCCACGUGGAAACCUCACUUUAGGGAAGUGUGGUGAAGAGCUCAGUGCUGAGACAGCUGCCCAUGGACGGUGGGCCUGGUUGUUGGUGGGACGGGGGUACAUUUUUGUCUCCCCAACCCCUCCCCAAGGCUGAGACUUUGCUUCAGACCCUUGGUGCUGUGUGUUGAAUGUGUUUCCCAAGGGUUCACUUUUAGAAACCGAGUUCCCGAAUUCAUAGGUUUUUAUUUUUUGAUAUUUGCUUUUUGAGACAGGGACUUUCUGUGUAGUUCAGGCUGGCCUUGAACUUGAGGCGAUCCUCCUGCUUCAGCCUCCCAAGCGCCAGGGCGGCAGGUGUGCACUGUCAUGACUGGCUCUUCGUUUAUAUGCUGAUCUGAUUGUAUUUGAGAGGUAAUCAGGAUUUGGGGAGGCCACAAGGGGUCUGUAAUGGUGUUGGUGACUUUUAAGAAAAGGAAGAGCUGCCGUGAGCCAGGCUUUGGCACCAGACCUGGGGUGAGUUUCGCUUGGCUGGUGGCGCUUGGUCACAGUAGCCACGGACCCUUGUGGAGGAUGGUUAGGGGCUCAGGGACAUGGCAGGGCCGAGGGGGGACGUGUGGGUGAUAUUUAAAAAUCAUAGCAGAGGUUCGGGCCUUUUUUCCUUUUCUUACACUCUCCUGCAGGGCAGGUUUCUGAAUCUACUCAUGCUUGUGUGGAAAGAUAGAACCUUUAUCACCAUGGUUCUUAUCAGGAACAGCACAGAACCCCGGGGGGUUAGAAUGCUGUGCCUGGCCCCUUCCCCACCCCACUCUGCAGCUCUGGGGCGGGGCUGCUAACUUGUGCCCAUUAAGCUGGGGCCUUGGUGGCUCGGCGGUCUGGGGCAGCUCUGAGAGCCGCCACGCUGCAGAGUUGGACAGGGAAAACGCUUAGCUCCUGUGUGGCCCUGAGGCUCUGUGUGGAAGGGGAGGAGGAGCAGCCAUGCAGGCUUGCUCUCUCCUCACCGCAGCCCUCACUGUCCCCCAGUGCAGACAGGUAAGUUAAUUAGAUAUCUUGUGGGCAGUUAGACGGGACAGCACACGAGGCGCCAACAUGGAGGACAGUGAAGACACAGGUACUGAAGGCCAGCCCUGUGAAAGGAGAGAAACUACACACCAUGUAGGAUGAAUAGCAGUGACUGAUCUAAACAGGCAUCAGUCACCUGGGUGGGGUGGCUUGUUUCCCCCCUGGAUCCCCAUUUGAUCCAUAUCACCAAAGCAACUCUAUGUCACAGUCUCACUGGUUGCUCAUAGUUUUGUCCACCUUGUGAUUGCUCAUUGGAUCAGUGUUACCUAAGCAACUGUACUUGUCAUCUUACUGGUUGACUACACUUUUGUCCCACCUUGAACCCGCCUCACCUUGUGGCUUUGCCCCAUAAAACACCUUUGGGAAGUGGGGUGCGCGGGCAGCCCACUCUCCAGUCCCCCUUCUGUCUCGCUGGGACAGAAGCUUUCUUUUUCUCAAUAGAUUUUCCUACUCUUAACCUCCGUUGUUCCUAGAUUUCAUUCUCUGAUUUUAGAGAACACGAACUCGCACUUCAGACACCUGGCAGGUUUGGGAGUCGCAUCUCUUCCCCUAUAUCUAUCAUCCCCGAGAGGAGGACAAAACACAG